RNAcentral lists this long non-coding RNA (347 nucleotides) under Olea europaea (common olive). Its description in RNAcentral is "long non-coding RNA (OEUR_LNC011445)". Lineage: Eukaryota; Viridiplantae; Streptophyta; Magnoliopsida; Lamiales; Oleaceae. The record is from RNAcentral.
GGUGCUUGGUCUACUGUUUUCCUCCUCCAUUCCAUCUUGGACCGUUACCCAUUUGAUUAGUACUAUAACUGACCAAGAUUCCGAGAAAACAUUUAUUAAGAAAUGGCCCUGGCUUGAUCACGUGUUGCCCAGCAGUCAACAAAUUUCACACAUUGAUAGACAGAACAUACUGUAAUUCUAUGUUUGAAUCCUGGAUCGUAGCAUUUUCUUGCUGGAAAUAGAUUGACGUCAAGAAGCAAAAUACUUAUUUCUUACCUAGAGUUAUAUACCACUCAGAUUGUAAUGUAAGAAAUAAAUUUCACCGCUUCACUAUCUCAUAAAUCGAACAUGCAAGUGAUAGAUUUCCA